UCUUUCAAGGAGACACUAAAGGAACAAAUCCUACAGUUUUCCUUUGAUCCAUUCCUUUGAACCAAAUGCAUGAAUAGUAGUACCAUAGGAAACUUUCCAAUUCCUAUGUUUUUACUUCACUUUUCCUUUCAAGCACUGGCUAAACUGCUUGAAGUCCAGGCAAAAAGAGGUACUCUUUCUACAACUAUAUUAGUAUUAGUACCGAAUUUAAACGGGAAAUAGCUAAUGUAAAAUUUAUCUGAUAUAGAACACUCAUAUCGAUAAAAUGGUUUGAACUAUUUACUAGAAAAAAAAGGGGGCACCCUGCCCUUUUUUAACCAAUGCCGAAUCGACGACCUAUGUAUAAAAAAGAGAAAUUUUUUGGAUUUGAAGAAAAAAAAAAAGAAUUCUAUUAAUUUUCAUUUUCCGUUUAUUUAGUUAGUUUUAGGCAGGCUUGAGCAAGGAAAAGCCUACGCUCAGAAAAUGUUUUUGUGCUACUUCUACUACUUUGGACCCAGACCACUUCCCUACUAGCUCAACUCCUAGGCCCAUCGACAAAUGCAUAGCUCAAACACGCAGAGAUAAAUAAUGAUGGCGUUGAAGAGAGUCCAUCACGGAUAGCUAAUUUGCCUGGUACCUCACUGCUUGUCAUAUAGUAGGAGAAACUAAUCUUAUUUCAUGUUACUACGUGUGCUCAGUGGACAAUAUAUAGAACAUGUAGAGUAAAAAUAGAUGGAACAAGUGUACAACCUCUUUGGUGAAGCCAUGUCGAUCUCAGCGUGAUUGGGUUGGUCGGUGAGGAUGAUCCGACUGACUUGGCUGCCGGUGGAGGGGAAGAAGAUCUUAGGCAUCUUGAGAUGGAGCCCGGGGUACUGCUCCGCUGUGAUGGAGGGUUUCGUCAUUGGAGCAGCUUUGGUGAGUUGUACGACGCCGAGGCUGAAGCAGGACAAGAGAGACAAUGUUAACCUGAGUGGAAUUCUAAUAGCAUCUCCAAUAGAUGACGUAAAAUACAUAACCACAAAGUUCUAGAUGUAAAAUACAUCAGCCACUCAUCUCUGAACUUAACUGUCAAAACUGAAUUUAACUGUCGAAACUAAACUUAACUGUCAAAACUGAAUUUUGCUGUCGAAACUGAAUUUUACUGUCGAAACUGAAUGCACUAGUAGCAGAAAAGCAGUAGCAGCAGCGCAUGCGAGAGCCGGGGCAGCUGGUCGUGUAUCAGUUCAUCUUCAACCUCCACCCCCUGAGCCGCCAACCACCACCGGCCAAACUGCCGCUCCCACCGCCCGGGGCCGGCGGUGCGCCGCCCUGCCCGCCCAAAAACCAUUCCCCACCGCCGCCCCGGCCAUCCCUUUAGCCCCCACCCCCAAUGCUGAGCUUUUUCUCCGGCGAUCCCUACGCCACAACCCCACCACCGCCCCCACCCUGAACCCUAAGAUAGAUAGUACGGUACCUCUCCGGCGAGCCCCCCUCCCAGCUGCGGCUGGUUCUUCCUUAACUCCGGCGAGCCCCCCAUCCCCUAAAAAUCGACUGACCCAAAAGUCAAUUCAGUCGACUGAAGUGUAGCUAAAUCGGAGCAGCAUCGCAAGAAAGAGCAAGAGCGAGAGUAGUAGCGCAAGCAAUAGAAAGAGCAAGAGUAAGAGCAGAACAUGCAGGGGACCGAGAGCAAGAGCAGAGCAGCAGCGUGAGCGAGAGCUAAAGCAUCAAGAGCUCCUACUGAUGUGGACGUCGCCGCUGACGGAAUGACACCGUGGAGGAAGUGGGCCAGCGACACCGCCAUGGAUGGAUCCGCGCCAUGUUGCCUCAGGACCGAGCACCGGUAGCACCAUGAGAUAAAAUCAAGAAGAAAAUGCGGCGAUUAGUGUACAACCUCUUUGGUGGCGCUGAUUAGGCCUCAGCUUCAUCUGAGGAAAUGGUGAUGAUGCUGCUCUUCCGGUGGUGCAGGUGAAGACGGCGGUCUGAGAAUGGAGGUGGCGCGAAAGACGAGGGGUACGUCAGGGCAGCUCCUUGGAGGUGGAGGACGGGGUGGCUGAACCGGCAGGACGAUGAGAUCGACGACAGAUCCUCGUCAGGUACGAUGGAUGAGGGACGUCGAGGUGUUGUUGUGGAUGACGUCAUCGGGGAAGAGGCUCUGGCUGGGUGGCAGACCGAGGAGGGUGUGGGGCUUCGCGGGUUUUCGCAGCCUCGGUGUACGAAUGGGUGGGCUGAUGGGAUGGGAGUGGGGAACCAUGGCUUAGGGACACGCUUGUCCGAAAUGUGGGCUAAGUUACGGAAGUACCCCUACCGAUUUGAGCUAGGCAGUUCUUACGGUUAAGGGUAUCACUGGCAUUACGCGUGUCGGGAUUUCGUAGAAGGUGGUAGUUUUCGCGCGCAUUGUAAUUUUGGGAUAGCAAGGCACGGGUUGAGAUGGAGGGAGUUUUCGUAGCACAACAUGACAAAGAUAUAUCUUAAAUAUUUCGGGGUAACAAGGCACGGGUUGAAAUUUCCGGACAAGCCUAACAUGUACUGUACCAAAUCAAUUCGCACUUCCAUCGACGAAAAAACAAAAAGAAAUCAAUUCGCACCACACAAGAGAGUCUAGUCCCGUGUACUGUACGAAAUCAAUUCGCACUACAAAUGCCAUUCAAAACUUUGAAUUCAUGUUAUGUUCAAUUAAAAUUUUUUGCUAGUGCAUAAUGCAUGCAACCUGCUACUCAAAUGAACGUUUUAGUUCAUUCCAAACGUAUAUACUACCGCUUCAAUAUGAAUUAAAUUUGUAUUCGUUUCUCUAUUUGAACAAUAUCUAAAAUAAUGACUGUUCUGAACUCAAACCAUUUUAAUUCAUUUAUCUAUUUUAAUAAGAUCUACAAUCAUCAUUAUUGUCAAGUUAAACCCUCAUUUGUGUAUUAUCUUCACAGCACACCACAUGAUUACUGUCGAGUUAGAUAUGAACUAUGUGUACUAUAUGAACUCGAACUCGAUUUUUUGAAUCCACUUUAUGUUGAUUUCAAAUCACAGUACAUUUCAAGCUCUAGCUACAUCUUCAUAAUCAAAACCAUGUCUCAUAUGUAUAAUGUGUUUAUCACAUAAUGUAUGGUGCCCUGCCCUCUACGCCCACAAGUAUUUAGAUGUGAGUUGCAAACGCCACACAUUACCACAAAUUCAAAUAAAAUGUGAGAUUGUUCGAUAUAUAGUAUUGUUUAGAUUGUUCGAUAUUUAGUUGUAAGCUGCAAACGCCACACAUUAUCACAAAUUCAAAUAAAAUGUGAGAUGGUUCUAUGUAUAGUAUGGUUUAGAUUAUUUGACAUUUAGCUGUGAGUUGCAAACGCCAUGCAUUAUCACAUUAUGGUAUAACAUGAGCAAAACCACAACACGCGUAUCACCGCUAUAUUCAUGCAUGCAUGUUUUUAUAACACUAUGAUCUCCUAUGAAUUCACUUUCAUAUCAAAUUAUGAUCUUUGUUAGUCUCUUACACCCACACAAUCCUCCAACCUUUGUAGCUAGCACUAACUUUCUCUUGCGCAUGCACACGCCCUCCUUGCCCUACCCCUCCCUCAGCAUUCUAUCCAUCGUGCACAUUCAUUUUUUUUUUCUUUAGGUCGUUCUCCCACAGUCUGCGCAACUCCUUUCCGACACACACCAAUCGAUAAACCGCUCCAGCGAUGUCUGCCUACAACAUACGCACACACCUUCCAUCUCCUCCUUUCUAUGUCCAUGCCUCGUGUCUCUCAUACGGUCCCACACACGUGUAAACUAUCGCCCCUCUUUUCGUCAAUCUGACAAUCGCACACUCCUCCCCUAUCUAGCUAGUAGCUCGGCCUCUCGCACCACCUCCUAGCUCCAUUCUCUCUGUCUACCCGUCUCGCUGGGCCUUAUUUGCCUCUAACAAAUGGAUGUACACCGACCGGUCGCCCGCUAUAUAUUUAGCUAGCUAGGUCCUUAUAACUCUUUUUUCCCCAUGCGUCGAUCGAUCUACCUCAUUAGUUAUGUCUCUCCCUUCCUCCGACAAACAACAAUUGAUCUAUCGAUCUAGUUAGGUUUGCUUACCAAACACAUGGUUCCCCUUCAUCAUCCAUGCAUGUGUCCUGGCACAUCUAUCACGCACUGGCACACAAAGGAACACAUCCCCGUUCUUAUUGAUAAUAUUGCAGUUCUACCCUUAGUUUGUCUAGUAGGCCUCUCCCACCAUCUUCGAGAAGCAACUCCAUCACCCAUCCAUCACUCUACCCCUCUCCCUCCCUCUCUCUCUCUCUCCUCUCUAUCUCUCUCUCUCCCUCUCUCUCUCUCAUUGUCCCAACCUAUUUCCCGUCCUUCAGUUAUGUAUGGAUGUCGACCGAUCUCCCUCAAGACAUAGCUGGGUCUCUCCUUCUCAACACAUAUACAAGUCGUUCUACCUCUCUAUUUAGGCCUCUGCCUCCCCCCAACACAGACACACACACACACCGAUACAUCGAGCCCUCUAGUCAUGUCUCCCUGCCACGCACAUACUUGCCCUGUGCCCUCUAAUGUUCCGGUAGGUCAGUCGCCCUAUAUCUUUGACUUGCACACACACAAUUUUGAUGGCUCUCUUCAUCGAUCUCGCACCCACCCACUUGAUCCUCUCUUCGACUCUAUCAAUAUCUAUGACCCCUCCCUCUCUUUUGUGGAUCGCCCCCUCUAUAUGUGAUAGAGAUAGGCCUCCAUUUCACACACAUUGCAUGUGUCGAAUUUUUGUUUGAGAUGUCAUCGACACAUAUUCCCACAAAUACAUUCACGAAAUCACCCCCAACAAAAAACACUCACAAACGCACACGCCAUCUGCCUAGGUUUGUAUCUUUCUCACACACACCCACAUAGGUGGGGGACGUGCACGAAGAGAAGAGGUGCACGCAUGGCGCACGUAUACACGGUGUAGCUCAUUUCUGUACGAAAAGGCAGCACACGUGGUCAUUUGACAUGUGUACUGGUUUUCCACUUGAUGGAGGAUCGUCUACCACGGGUGAACAAACAAAUUGCGACUUGAUGCGUUAUUUUAAAAAGGAGGCAAACCAUGUGGGUCCUACCUUAGAGGCAAGGCUCUAUACACUCGAGAUCCUCUAUACGUAUUACUUUUGAUGUGUCCCGUCAACUCACAGAACGAGGAGAAGCUUGCUUAGUAUGCUGUCUCCCCACCCAUGGGCGCUGUGGCUCGUAGGAUGAGUUGAAGCUUGCUUACUAUGCCUUACGCCUGCUCCCUCGCCCACGCGCGCGGUGGCUCACAGGACGAGGAGAAAAUUUUACUACCCCCUUCGUUUACUCCUCAUCCCUACCUUGGUUAGAGAGAUUAUCAUAUUGUUUGGAAUAUAUGUACUUUAGUAGAUUUCAAUAUGAACUACUCCACUAGUACAUACUCCAAACACUGACGUAUAUAGACGUAUUUUAGAGUGUAGUUCACUCAUUUUGCUCCGUAUGUAGUCCAUAUUGAAAUGUACAUAGUAGUAAUAGUAUGCACUCUCCCUCGCCCCUCGACCCUCACCCACGUGGUGAAGGCGCAACAAUUCAUUAGGUAUCAUAUAGCUAGAAUGAUAUAUAUUGCAGUACCAUUAUUUCUCGACUUCCCGAAGAGGCGAAGAGCCAAUCGCAAGGUUAAUAAUUUGGAGAUGCCAAGCGCAAGGUUUAUAGGAGAACGAGUAGUAGUAGUACUAGUAGUACGUACCAGUGGUACGUACUAUAUGAGGAAGAAGGAAACAAGCUGUAUAUUUUGCAUGACAGUCUCUUCUUACAAGACGCGCUAGACAUAGUGGACCUCAAUGUUGCAAUGGGACUACUCCCUAUCAUAGAUGGCACGAUUCAGAGUGGUGGGUAACGGGCAUAAUUCGGAGCUGCUUAGUCUUAAACCCCAUGAAGAAGUCCCAUCGAAAGGAAUAGCCAUCCUCUACACGUGCUCCUAUGUAAAAUGAGUAAAUGAGACAAAAAUAGAAAGACAUAGCAAAAAAAAUCACCAGCCUUAGAUCCAGCCCUAUUGUAUCAUUGAAUGAUAUUUAGGUCGCGAUUGACAUGGCUAUAUUAUUAACCAUGCUACGGAGGUAGAAUCGGAUUUUUAUUUAUUCGCGGAGCUAGCAGCGGAUGGAUAUUCAACGAGGAGUGAAAUGAUGGCUGCUUCCUUGGUCAAACAUAGAGAAAGGCGGGCCUCGUGAUUUCACGGCUUAUUAGUCAGUAUUACUGCCUAUACUCUUUGCCCAUCUAUAAUAACCGCGUGGUAGUACAGUAGUGGGCUAUACUUUUAAUAACCAUGCUCGAAGAGAAGAGGUGCACGCACUCACACACGUAGUGUACUAGUAGCACUCUUUGCGUCUUUUGCGUCUUCCUAGACAACACACGUGACACGGUGGAGCUCAUUUCUAUAAGAUGAUGCAGCCCACAUGAUAAUUUGACCCGUCUAGUAGUAGUUACUCACUUAUAAAUAAUGGAGGGUCGGGAACCACGCACGAACGAUGCCGCGUCAUUUAUAAAUAAAGUUUUUUUUCUUCAGUGGCACGUACGCAAUAUAAAUAGGUUCAUAUGGAGAGAAAAGGAAACCGCUCCACUAUACACAUAGCCAGGAUGAGCCUACAUGGUUGCUUGCUGGGGUUGCUCUCUUCACACACUCUCGCACAAAACGACUGUGGCCACAUCUCUAACAUCUGGGUGGAUCAUGUCCACCGGGGGAAGGGGUGGAUGCUUAGUGUAGAUGCGGUCGCCGUCGCUGACGGUGAAAACCUACUGUCGGCAUGUCCUGAUCAGGGGUCCACAUCGUUCUCUCUCACAAAGCCGGUGAGGUUGCCUUCGUCCCUUGCUCACCGCCGCGACGCGGGCAGUUGCCACCUCCCGCCUCCCUCCUCUAGGUUGAGCUAUGUCCUGAUAUCCCUUAGGUACAACUUCCUUUACAACCGACUUGCACCACUGCUCCAGCUUCCCACAUCACUCCGUGUGGAUAUUUCUCUACUUCUUUACCCCGCACAUACCUCUACUGGCUUCUACGUAUUGCAUUUGUGAUGAGUUUAUGUCUCAUCAACUAGUCCCAGUAAUCUUAUUCUAAUCACGCUUCUUCAAUUUCAUUGCCACAGGGAUACUCAUCUCGAUUUUGGUGAAACUUCACAAAAUGAUCCAAUGGUCAAAGGGCUGCAAACUUCAUUUCUUCGGAAGCUCCAACGUUGCCAGCAAAUUAAAGCCUGAUUACGGUAUACGGUUGCUGGGCUAGGGACUGCAUGGAUUGUUUUUUUCUUUUGCUAUCUCUAUUCCAAAAUAAGUGUCAACUUUAGUAGUAGUAAAACUUGGUACUAAAGUUUGUAUAAAGUUGAGACACUUAUUUUGGAACGGAGGGAGUACAUAUUGGCUAUGAUCUGUCAAUCAUUGAGAUGCAAUAGCACGCAUGUUAGUCUCCUUUGUAUUUGAUGAAUGAUGCAACGGGCAACCUUGGACGCAAGAUACAUGAAACAGAAGCUGGAAGCUUCAUAGGAUUAUACAAAUUUAUCUCGCUGAGAAAUUACAGUACGUACUAUACCAGUACUAUGUAAAGAGUCAGGUGUCGCACAGUGUCCAGAAAAUAUGGUGACAGCGUGAGGUGGGCCAUGUAAUCACUGAGCCUGCGCCUUUUCAUUGCUUUCACACUCCUCCACUGUAGGAAUGGAUAAAAUUGUAAUCUAGUAGUACCUCCUUUCGUCGAAAGCAUGGGACAUCCAGCAGUCAUACCACCUCAGUAAUAAUGACCAAUGAGCCGUCAAAUCACAUAGACCCAGCAGUAAGUUGGACGGAUGAAGCAACCAUCACUCUUGAAUUCGCUUCUCCCUUCAACACAGGCGCUAGUGAGAGGUCGCGCCCGCUCUACCCGGGCAUGAAUGCGGCACCGAUUCUUUGGAGCGGCGCUGACCGUUUCGGGCGAUGGAGGGGCUUUGGGUGGGUCAGGCUGGUCAGGAGCGGGCGUGGCUGAUAUGUCCAUUUUGCAUCAUGCUUUUAUAUUGAUAUUUAUUGCAUUAUGGGCUGUUAUUACAUAUUAUGUCACAAUACUUAUGCCUAUUCUCUCUUAUUUUACAUGGUUUACAUAAAGAGGGAGAAUGCCGGCAGCUAGGAUUCUGGGCUGGAAAAGGAGCAAAUAUUAGAGACCUAUUAUGCACAGCUCCAAAUGUCCUGAAACUUCAAGAAAGUUAUUUCUAGAAUAUAUAAAAAAUAUUGAGCGCAAGUGUUGGCAUUCUGGGAAUGGGGGUCCCCAGACUUGUCUGCCUGUGGCCCGCGGCGUGGCUAAGCCAGCAGGCCAUACGGCCCAUCUUCAUCAACAAGGCAUCCAAGACCCUCGCGAGGGGCCAAGCCUUGCGAGGCGGACGACACAAGGCCUCCUCUGGAGUGGCCUAGUCGGGCAUGCUCACGAGGGGCGGAGAUAACAAGGCGAGGCAAACCUCACGAGGCUCUCGUCACGUGAGCCAUGACGAUUGACACCAGGCGGGCGCCAGCGCAUGCAACGUCCUUGUUUGCUCUUUGGUGCUAAGGAGCCAGUGCAGGCGAGGAGUACCGAGGCAUCAGGCAAAGGUUGCGAUAUCGGUGCAACAAGACCAAGACUAGAAGGACAGCAAGACGGAGGUCAUUGUGGAGCCCAAGACGGCAUUACCACCAGAGCCUUUCGUAGGCGGAGACCACCUUUGUCAGUAUAGCUUGUACUAGCUGCCCCCCUUCAAAAUUGCCCGCCGUUGUUGGCUCCCUUCCCUCUCAAUAUUUGGGAAGAGGACCAGGGCCUCUAUAAAUAGCACUAGCCACCACCAUAGGCAAGAGAGAGCCUGAAGUUCAUCCCCCCACACACAAGUUAGCCAAGCACGAGAACACCUCACUCUCAGGAGGCUGUUCUUCCCCUUGUAUUGUUCAUCAUCAGCCCAAGAGGCAAUCCACCACCACCACACUGGAGUAGGGUAUUACACCACAACGGCGGCCCGAACCAGUAUAAAUCUUGUGUCUUUCUGUGUUGCAAGUUCGUCGAGUUCGUCCGCGAGAUCUUAGCGAGCUAGGGCCUAGAUCGGUGGGAGGAAAAGACUUCGCGCGCACCCCAGUAUUCCAACCUUAAGGGUUUGCCGGAAUCCCACAUCCGACAUUUGGCACGCCAGGUAGGGGUGCGCCGUAGCUUCCCUUCCAUCAGUUCAUCGCUCUGUCGCUCCAUCGUCUCCAUGGCGGACGCUCGACGUGCUCGAGCUGAGCGUCGGGCUGCCCUCACUACCCGCGUUGCUCAAACGGCCCCCAUCGGUGGGCCACCAUGUUGUUCUCCGUCUCCCGCCACCAACACUGCCACCGGCCCGGUGGGGAAUGAGCAGCAAGCCUCUUUGCUGCAUCCUUCGGUACGGCAGGACGGCCGCAUCGCCACUCCAUCGCUGACCCCGACCGGUUCUUCACCCCAUGCACACCACGCUCCCAUGGAGGCGCGGGCCGCACUCCUUGCCACAAACGAACUCCUGCGCUACCGCCCAGUCGACGACCUCUAUGAGGAGUGGCUUGACCGUGUCGCCGAGCUCGUCCGGGCCGCAGGGGGCUCCCCGGUGCUAUCCGUCUCUCUGCCUCACCCUCAGCCGGACUCGGGCGAUGAUGCUUGGGGCGCGCCUCCACCACCCCAGCCAAAAGAAGGCGCCUUGGCAGAAAGGCGUGCGGCCCCGCGGUGUGAUCCGCCACGUCCGGUGCCCACGCGCGAAGAGAGAAGAUGCCAAGAAAUCCUCGGUCGCGAGGAGCUGCACCCGCGCUUCCCGCGCUGCCUUGUCAAGACCGCGUGCCGCCCGUGGCGGCGCCGCACGGACCUCGUCAAGACCAACCUCCACCUCUGUUGGGGAUAUUACCACCGGGCAUAAACCGGCUAGGAGAGGCCGGAUUAUCCCCAUGAUGGUUGCUUUAUUCAAAAGCCCAUGAAGACGUGAGGAUGGUGGCGCUUUAUGAAGGCCCAAGGCCCAAAGGUGGGUUAAGGCCUGUAGAUGUAAACCGACUUUCUCAUGUAACUUGCAUUGUAAGAUAGGAAGGAUAGAGACCGAGUUGGAUACGUUAACAAUCCAGCCUCGGGACUUUGUAAACUGACGAGCGUCAACCUAUGUAUAUAAAGGGACGACCCGACGUCGGUUUAGGGACAACUGACAACAAAAACUCGAGAGCCAGGUAAAGCGGAUUUGCUCCCUGGUCAUCGAAACCCCAACAAUUCCAUCACAACUAGACGUAGGCUUUUACCUUCAUCGUAAGGGGCCGAACUAGUAUGAAACUCUCGUGUCCCUUGUCCGGUUUAACCCCUUUAAGCUAACCCAGAGAGAUGGCUCCAUGACUAAGUCCUUUCAUGAGGACAUUUGCCAUGACAAAACCACGACAGCUGGUGCCCACCGUGGGGCUAGAAGGAGGGCUCGUGGGCUGGAGUCAUAUUAACUUCCCCAUGAGGUGACAAGUUUUGUUAUGUUCUUCGCUUAAUGUUCCCUUGUACUAACAAUGCAGCUGAAUAUGAGGCCUUGCUCCAUGGCCUUCGGAUGGCUAAAGAGAUGAAUUUAAGCCGAGUUAAGCGCUUUGGUGACUCGGACCUGGUGGCUCAGCAGGUAUCUAGCACUUGGGAUUCUAAGGAUCCACUCAUGGCUGCAUAUCGAUGAGAGGUGGACAUAGUGGCUGGUCAUUUCAAGGUUUAUCAAGUUGACCAUAUAGACCGGCGAAAGAAUGAAGCGGCGGACACUUUAAGUCGUCUAGGCUCUCUGCAUAAACCAGUGCCACCUAAUGUCUUCCUCGACGUACUUCAUAAUCCGCCGGUCAAGAUACCCACAGAGGAGGAGUUGGCUAUUCCUGACCCGGAGGCCCAGUUAGUGGCGGCUUUGCAUGUUAUACCGGAUUGGACAGUCCCGUACCUGGCUUACAUGAACCGAGACAAGUUACCAGAUGAUGAAACCUUGGCCCGGCAGAUAAUCCGGCGAUCCAAGUCAAUGACCAUUAUCAAUGGGGAGCUACAUCAUUAUAGCGUCACAGGAGCAAUUCAGCGUUGUGUGUCUCCUCAAGAGAUUUGUGAGAUUUUGCGAGAAAUCCACAAAGGAGAUUGUGGUCACCAUGCCGGUUCAAAAUCCUUGGUGGCUAAGGCUUUUCGUCACGGCUUCUAUUGGUUGACAGCUCAUGCUGAAUGCCGAGGAUUUGGUAAAAAGGUGUGACGAUUGUCAGAAAUUUGCACGCCGCGCUCAUGUUCCGGCGCAAGAGUUGAGAAUGAUUCCAAUCACUUGGCCGUUUGCAACUUGGGGGCUAGAUAUGGUUGGACCCUUUAAGAGGUCCAAGGACAAAAAGACCCACCUGUUGGUGGCAGUUGAUAAGUUUUUCAAAUGGGUAGAAGCAGAGCCGGUUAGUAAGUGUGAUGCAGCCACGGUGGUCCAAUUCAUCAAAAAGGUGAUAUUCCGGUUUGGUUUUCCACACAGCAUUAUAACUGAUGACGGUACUAAUCUGUCCAAGGGUGCUAUGGAGGAAUUUUGUCAACGUGAGCACAUCCGGCUUGAUGUAGCAUCAGUAGCUCACCCCCCGUCUAAUGGUCAAGCAGAGCGGGCAAAUCAAGAAAUUUUGAGAGGUAUUAAACCCCGGCUUAUGGUUCCUUUAAAGAGGACGCCGGGUUGUUGGGUGGAGGAGUUACCUUCUGUAUUAUGGAGUAUCAACACCACACCAAACAGAUCUACGGGUUACACACCUUUCUUCAUGGUUUACGGAGCAUAGGCGGUUCUCCCUAGUGGCAUCCGUCAUGACUCGCCCCGUGUGGCGACUUACGUUGAAGCUGAAAAUGAGAAGGCACGUCAGGACUCACUGGACCUGUUAGAUGAGACGCGUGAUCUCGCAGCGGCGUGGUCGGCAAUUUAUCAACAAGAUCUCCGACGUUAUCACAGCCGCCGGGUUAAGACCAAAACUUUUCAAGAGGGCGAUCUGGUGCUCCGGCUCAUCCAGGAUCAGACUGAUAUGCACAAAUUAUCCCCACCUUGGGAAGGACCUUUUGUGGUCAGAAAAAACCUGCAGAAUGGGUCAUACUACCUUAUCGAUGUUCGAGAGCACAAAGACUCAUGCAAAUCAGAGGAGGAGACCCAGCAGCCAUGGAAUAUAGCUCUUCUUCGGCCUUACUAUACUUGAGCCACAUGCUCUUCUUAUGUACAUACUUAUAACAAUGUAUAUAUUAUAUAAUAAACUGGAGCCUCAGCUAAAGCGGGGUCUCUGUUCUUUUUUACAUCAUGUGUGGUUACAUGGGGGCUUCUACUUACAAAGCGGAGUUCUAUUAACCCGACCUAUAAAGCCACAUAGAUAUAAAGGAAAUCACUAGGGGGCUUGGUCGUAUUCCAACCAUAGCUACGCCUCUUGAUCGUCUUAAGACCAAAAAGGGAAAUCACUAGGGGGCUUGGUUGUAUUUACACCAUAGCUACACCUCUUGAUAGGCUUAAAGCCAAAAGGAAAUUAUGUGGAACCAAAGAGAGUCUGUUGCAUCAAGCACAACUCAAACGUAGGUAACCACUGAGCAUAGCUCAAAUAUUACUUGGGGGCUCCUUACUUCUCAAAGAACAACGAGCUUGCACCCUUGUGAUAGGCUAUCAAGCCAGGCUUGGAAGCUAGGUGUUAUCCUGCCUUUUUAAGUAAGCCACUCCGUCCAGGUAAACCUGGUAUGACCCAUCGAAUGUUUGACAAGUCAAUCUCAUACACCCUGAACUUGUCAAAGUUAAAAUGAUGAUUGGUUAAAGAUUGAGGUCCAUCUUAAAAGUCUUUGAAAAAUGGUUUAACUCAGCGGCCUGGCAGCCCAUUAAAAGCCUCGAUUUAGGGCCUGGCAGCCCAUGAAAAGCCUUGCAUAUUUCUUUUGUAUUUUGCUGUCUAAAACAUCUUCUGAUAAGGGAUUUAUGAAUAUUUUUUGAUAAACAUGUUUUAUUACAACCCGGCCUGGCUUUCAACACUAAGUUGUCAGUACAUGGUCAGUUUUAAUCCGGCAAUAAUAUUGCUCCGGUCUAGUUUGACUACAGGUCACCACAAUUAUAUGCAUAAACCAGUGUUUACCAUCACCCAGAAAGAUUUCGGUAUGAACCGACAAGGAUGCAAGGAGUCAUCAACACUCCAGAUUGGUGUUAUCACCUUUUGUUAUAACAACAGUUGGUAAGCCAAACGAGAUAUACCACAGGUAACAUCUAUUUUAUAUCUACAUAUUACAACCUUAGUUCAGCAUCCAGGUUAUAUAUAUGUUUGGGCACCAUGACCCGUCCAACGGUAAACCGCUAGGACACUUUCAAUUUUUUUGCAGGAAUAAGCUAACUAAAGCCACUGUGGAUUAUGCAUAUAAUAGAUCCCAAAAACAUGUCGAGUUAUCAAUGUCAAGCACACCAAGUAUGCUCGAUGGCAUAAGCAUAUAAGUAUUUGAACUAGCCUAUUACAAGGCGCUUUAGUGCCCACACAGGAUAAUUGUUUCGACAAGUUUGGCAAAUGAUUAAACCGGCUUCCGGAUUACGAUUCUUCAUCCGGACGACUUGAAGAUUGAGGGUCAUCUUGAGCGGGUGCAUUCUCCUCAUCCCUACCCAGUCGCUGAAAAUCAAUCCUUGACCAAUCGAUUCCAGUUAAGGCUUGAAAAACGGCUUCUUCAUGAAUAAGGUUGGAAGGGUCAAUGUCAGGAGCGUAAGUGUGCUUACGGAUUGGUGGAACAAGAUCUUCUACAUUAUGAAUCGGCGCGGGAUGUCUUUUCCCCUCAACAUCGUAAACCUGUUGAUAAUGAGAUAGAUCUGUGUUAUCUGCCAAUUUGCUUGCUAUAGGCCGCAUUUCCUUUGUUGGCCUUCGGAGAUCAUCGUUGUUGAAUUCUGUGCCAUCUUCCUUCAUGUUGGGGUAGCCUUGGACGAUAUCUGCCGGUUCAAGAUCUGGAAUCCACGCCUUGGCUCGGAUUAGCAUGGUCAGCGCACCUGACCUUGCGGCUGAUCUCUUCAGUUCAUCCAGCCGGGCAGGCAGCAUGGCCAGCUUUUUUGAUGGUCUCUUUUGUCAGCGCUGGAGGAGGUUUGUUAUAAGCUGAAGUAUAAAUGGCUCGCUGGGAUCCAGAAUGCAGUUGUUCUAUCAAAGUAUAGGCCGCUUUAAGCUUCAUCCGCAUGUCGGAGCCCAGAUGAGUAAUGCGUGUCCAUGUCAUGGUAAAGCAUCAGUAAACCAGCCUUUAAUAUGAUAUUAUGGAUUGGAAAAACUUCAUAUGAGGAAACUCACCAAAUACAACAGAGGUCAUGGCAUUAAUCUGUCGCUUUAAGCCGGUCAGUUCUUCAACCACCGGCUUUAGGGCUGCUUCUGCGUCUUCGGCCUUCUUUGUAAAAUCGGCCUGCUCGGCAUCCCAGUCUGCACGUUCCUUCUUAAAAUUUUCUUUCAGCUUUUCCGUGGCUGCUAAGGCUUUAGUCAGUUCCUCCUUGGCUUUGGAAGCUUCCACUUGCUGAGACUUGAUGUUGUCUUGAAGAUCAGCGGUUUGGGAGUCCUUUUUGCUCAGCUCAGCCUGUAAAGGAAUGGCAUAUCAUUAGUGGGAAGUAUAUAUUUGAAGUACCAAGAACAUAACAAGUUAUGCACUUUGUACUUGGGGGCUAAUGCCUAUUUGCUAUGUUAUCAGAAAUUUUUGCAAAGUCCCAAAUACAAUGCAAACAUUAUCUUUGGCACUUGGGGGCUAAUGUACAUCUAUUCAAAGUUGAAGCAUUGAUUAAAGACCCGGCUUACCUUGGAAAGAUAAAUCGGCCCUUGGGGGCUACACAGAUGAAAACUACAAGAAUACAAUGAUAAAGUACUAGUUUAUUUCAAAGGAUCACCUGACAUAUGGAGGAUAAGCAUGCAAGGGUUGAGAUAUUACAAAGUCCCAAUUUAUGAUUGCUAUCAUAAACCGACCCUUGGGGGCUACUAGAGUUGGUAUUUGCAAUUGGAGUUAAGAAAGGAAAAGUUAUGUCAUUACCUCAUGGAGCUCCUUCAUCAGAUUCACCAAAUCGGCUUCAUAAUCCCGGUUUGUGUGCAGACGGUUUAGAAAGCCAUAGUGGAGUUCCUGAGCAGUGAAGUGGGCAUAGCUUGAUAAAUUGGUGCUCCACUUGCCUUUCUCCAUGGCAGCACAUUCUUCUUUGGCACUAUGUUUCACCAAUACAACAGGUUGGCCAAGAGAGGUGUGGCCAAUACCGGUACUGAUAACAUCAUCUUCCUUAUUUCCAACAGCCUUUUAUAGAGUUGAUGGAGUAUCAGUCGUCUUCACUGGACUAGAAGAUCCGUCAUCAGCCCGGAUUGGACUGGCCGGUUUAUCAUCUCACACAGCGGUAUCAACUUCUGUUUGCUCAUUCAAAUCAUGAUCCAGAGGGGGUGGUUCAUGAACAACAGUGUCUACAUGAGGACCUUCUGGUUCAGUGGUUUGCUCCGGUUCAACAACCAAUUCUUCAGACGGUUUAUUCACCCGAGUUUUCUUGCUGGGUCUAGCCUUGGCUCUGAAAAGGAUAAGAUGCAAGGAUGAAAAUAGCAUGCAAAUACAAAGCCUCAACAAAUUCAGUUAAAACUUACCCAACAAUUCUUAAGGGGAGGGAGUUGUCUUGCUGUUGACUCACCAGAGGAUGAAGGGUGUCACCUGAUAAUUCGAAUCGGAAAGAUUAAGAGGUUGUCGGUAAUAGCCGGCCUUAGGAUAAGAAGUGUCAGAAGUGGGUGAGACCUCAGUUCGGCAUUUCCGGACCGGGGUAUUCAGUAAACUGGUCAAAGUGACCAUUUGACCUCUGUGCCAGGUUGUGCGGCGAGCCUCGUGCUACUGCUUCUUCAAAAUAAAUGUUGGAUCCAAGUGAGCAAGAGGGUGAGAAAAUCUUACUUUCCGGACUGCUUGACGGAUUUUUUGUGUUGGCAGAGAGUCUGAACCGGAGGAAAGGAUAAUUACCUCUGCAUCGCCAGCUUGGCUGCCCUUAACGUCCUCCUGAUAAAUAUCAUUGCCAAUGAGAUGCAUGAAAAGUGAACCAAGUUCUACCUCUACUUCCGGUUCAUCUAGGUCGUCAUCAAGCUCUAAACUGAUGGGUUUAGGUGCCUUCCUCUUUGUGGUUUUCUUCACGGCUUUUGUUUUAAGAUGGGAAGACUUCACCGCUUUCUCUUGAGGUUUCUUUUUCCAGAACGGAUCAUCACCCUGUUUAAAGAUGGGCAGAGGGAAUUCAGAGAUUGCACAAUCUAAAAAUAUCAGGUGUAAAGCAGAAGCACAGACAAUACUUACAGCGGGCGGUUUGUUUUGCGUAUAAAAGGGUCUCAACCCGGUCUUGCUACAUACAGCUUCUGGUUCGUUCAACAUUUUCUUCAUAGACUCAGUGACUUCUUCAUCUGUUAGCUGAAUAUUGAUAUGCCGUUGAGAGUCUUGUACGUCAUCGGUAUACUCACACAUUAAGACGGAGCGGCGACUUAAUGGCAAAAUGCUUCGGGAUAUCCAGCAAAGGACGAAGUCCAUGCCUGUUAAACCGUUGGCCAGGAAGACUCUCAGCUUGGCGAGUUGAGGUGCGUAUGAGGCCCGUUCCUGGGCACUUAGCCAUUGCAGAAGCGGAUGAGUAUUAGCAAGCCGGUGAGAAUGAUAACCCAACAGAGGGUUUUCAUCUUGAGGAGAGGUGUCUCUGCAAUAGAACCAAGUUUGAUUCCACUCUUUUGGGUGACUGUGAAGUUUGGCAUGAGGAAACUCAACCUCUUUCCUUUUCUGAAUUGAGAUGCCGCCAAAUUCCGUAUUGGGUCCGUCUACAAACUCAGUGCAACGGUUUAAAUGGAAGAAAUCCCGGAACAGCUCAACAGUUGGUUCCUCUUGAAGGUACGCUUCACAAAAGACUUGAAAGUUGCAUAUAUUGGAUACCGAGCUGGGUCCAAUAUCUUGAGGAUGGAGCUGAAAGCUAGCAAGUACAUCUGAAAAAAACUUUGAUCCGGGCGGUUUCAAGCCACGGCCUCUAUGAUCAACAAGCACCACCACUUCAUUCUGUUUGGGGGUAGGAGGGUUUUCCGGCAUAGGAACUCGCCACCAGAUUUCAUUCUUCUUUGGUAAGGUGCCGAUCUUAACCAUUCCGUUUAGUUGCUCCUCAGUAACCCGGGAAGGGACCCAGUUGCAGGAAUAAAACUGCUUGGCCAUUGCAAGUGAAAAUCUGGGAAGAAAAUAAUGUCGUUUUAUGAUUCAUUCAUGGCGAUGCAUAAGGUACAAUAGGGAAAGGGAAUCCAAGUAUGUGAAAUUGGUAAACCGGAGGCUAAUGCAAUUAUGAAUGAUAAAGCGAUAAGCAUAAUAAGAGGUAUACGCAUAUUAUUAAAACGGAGUAUGACAACGGAGAUAAAGGGAUUGGCGGUUUACAAGGGGACUAAUGGUAUAUGAUAGAUUACUUUCUACAAUGAUAAACCGCCUAUGCGGAUAAGGAAGAUACAGAUCUAAGCAAGAAUGAGUAAGUAAGGUAAAACAGGUUUCACAAGAUUGCAUUGAAAUUUUGGAUCUACUGUAAGUCAGGAAAAGGAAAAAUAUUGAGACUUAAAAAGGUUUGGUACCGAAGCAGUUCACAAAAGGUCCAGAUCAAGUUAUUAGGUAUUUAAGGUUUGGUUUAAAUGGCCAAGACAAGGAGUACCAUAGCUACUGUGCGGAAAAUGUCAAGAUCGAGCUCUGUUAUCUAUGGGCUGACGAAGAACACGAGAAGAGUGACAUGAACCCGUAUGAACCCUAAUGGAUCUAUAGAGGAAAGAAGGAAAGGCUUACAGCAGCUCUUGAGGUAGGGGAGGUGCACCGCAUCUUUCUGAUGCAACCAGGUCGAUGCAGCGGCCAAUGGAGAUGCAGAGGCGAAGCUCGACGACGACGGUGGCGCUCCGGUGCAAGGGCUUCCCGAGGAGAAAGAAGAAGCGAGGAGGCGAAGGGGGAAAAGAAAAUGACCGUUGGCCCUAUUUAUAAGGUAAAUGGAGAGGUGACAGGCGCGAGAAUCAAGGAGCCCGAAAAUUGGAUAUAUAACAGAGCGGUCGCCUCGAUUGUCGGAGGCUCAUUAACUGAAGGUGAGAUGUAUAAUUUUUAAAUAACAAGUGACGUCAUGGCGAUUUAUCAUGAUCCUAGAGGAUGACGUCAUGGUGGUUUACAAGAUCAAGGUGAAGAUGCAAAGGAGGAAUUUUUCUAAGUGUUGAAGAUUGACAUGAACAAGUUCAAAUCAAUCUGAGGCCUAAUGUUGGGGAUAUUACCACCGGGAGUAAACUGGCUAGGAGAGCCGGAUUAUACCCAUGAUGGUUUCUUUAUUCAAAAACCCAUGAAGACGUGAGGAUGGUGGCGCUUUAUGAAGGCCCAAGGCCCAAAGGCAGGUUAAGGCCUGUAGAUGUAAACCGACUUUCUCAUCUAACUUGCAUUGUAAGAUAGGAAGGACAGAGACCGAGUUGGAUACGUUAACAAUCCGGUGUCGGGACUCUGUAAACCGACGGGUGUCGACCUAUGUAUAUAAAGGGCCGACCCGACGGCGGUUUAGGGACAACUGACAACAACAACUCGAGAGCUAGGUAAAGCGGAUUCGCUCCCUGGUCAUCGAAACCCCAGCAAUUCCAUCACAACUAGAUGUAGGCUUUUACCUUCAUCGUAAGGGGCCGAACUAGUAUAAAACGCUCGUGUCCCUUGUCUGGCUUAACCCCUUUAAGCUAACCCGUAACGAUGGAUCCACAACUAAGUCCUUUCACAAGGACAUCUGCCGUGACAAAACCAUGACAACCUCUGAAGUGGGCCCCAAUAACUACGGCCAGCUGCCGCGCCUUCACCCCCGAGCUGCGUAGCGUCGCCUGGCCAGGCAAGUUCAAGCCAGAUCUGCCUCCUCGCUACGACGGCACCGCCGACCCCAUGGAGUUCUUGCAGCUCUAUGAGCUGAGUAUCGAAGCAGCCAACGGCGACGAGAAAGUCAUGGAAAACUGGUUUCCCGUGGCUCGCAAGGACGGGGCCCGCUCCUGGCUCCUGAACCUGUAGCAUGGCUCGAUAUCCUCCUGGGACGAGAUGCGCGACCGCUUCGUCACCAACUUCCAGGGCACUCGCGACUGCCCGCCUGCUGUGGGCAACCUGCGCCGCAUCAAGCAACAGCCAGGGGAGACCCUUCAGAAGUACAUUCAGCGCUUCAACAACACCCGCCUCAAGAUCCCCAAGGUCACGGAUGAGGCCAUCAUCUCCGCGUUCUCCGACAGCGUCCGUGACGUCAAGAUGAAGGAAGAGCUUGCUAUCCACGAGGAGCUCUGCACAUCUCAGGAACUAUUCAACCUGGCAAUCAAGUGCGCAAGAGCUAAGGAGGGGCGGCUGUCUCUCCUUGAGUUGCCAGCCGCGGGCAUAGAAGAGAAGAAAGCCAAGGCCAAGGACGUGAAGCGCAAGGAAGCAGUGGUGCUAGCAGCGGAGCCUGACACCAAACGGGGUAGAGAUCAGCCCGAGUCAUCCAAGAACAGCCGACCGUUCUGCGCCUUCCACAAACUGAACACCCACAACACUAGCGACUGCCAAGAGCUCAGAGCCAUACGAGAAGGACACUACGGUCGAUGCCCCGACCGCAGUGACCGGGGUACAACCAUGGAGGAGGACGCUAGGACGACCAUCGCCCGUGCCAGAAAUGGCGCGACAGGCCUCGUGAGGACCGCUGGCAAGACCAUCCUCGCGAGGGGGCCUGGAGGGACCAACCUCGUGAGGUUCGCCCCCAAAGCAAUGCCGGUCUUCCCCCACUGCCGCCACCAAGAAGGAACGACGAUCAUCAUCAGGACGAGGGGGUUGGGGGCUUCCAGGAGCCGCGUGCAAUCGCCUGCAUCUUGGGCGGCGCCCAGGCCCCAGCCUCUCAGCGCAUCUUCAAACGGUUCGCUCGCAAGGUGAACGCGGUGCUCCCCAAUCUUGAGGCCGUGCGCCCGCUCAAGUGGUCCCAGUGCGCCAUCACUUUCGACUCGGCAGAUCAGCUCAAGUGCGCGGCCAUCGCCGGCGUCCUCCCGAUGUUGUGUUCCCUAGUCAUCAACAGUGUGCAGGUUACCAAGACCCUCAUCGACGGUGGUGCAGGGCUCAACGUCCUGUCUGUCGACACAUUCGACAACCUCCAAGUGCCAUAUGAGCAGCUCCAGCCUACCAAACCUUUCUUAGGAGUGACCGACGGCUACACCAUACUGAUAGGGCAGGUCUGCCUACCUGUCACCUUCGGCACGCGCGACAACUACCGCACCGAGCUCAUCGACUUCGACGUCGCCCACAUCUGCCUGCUGUACAACGCCAUCCUUGGGUAUCCGGCCCUGGCCAAGUUCAUGGCGGUCACCCACCGCGCCUAUAACGUGCUCAAGAUGCCUGGAAGCGGCGGGGUCACCACGGUCCUAUGUGAGGAAAGGGAUGCGGUGUGCUCCCUCGAGCGCGCCUUCCAAGAUGCAACAAUCGACGACCCCGACAGCAAAAGUGAGGGCCCACCGGAGGCCAUCGCCAAGAAGAAGCAGCUGCGCCGCGCAGGACCUCAGGAGGAUGGUGUCGCGACAGGAGCCUCACUAGGAUCAGCGUCCGUCCUAGGGGCGCCACCCUCCAUCGCGUAGGAAGGCGCGCCCAACGCCCUCCUCGGGUAGGGCUCUGGGGCUCUCUUCUAGAGGGCGUCAGGCCUUGCCAACCUCAUGAGGGAGGCACUCGGGCACUACUUGGAGGCAUGCUAGACGACAUGUUUUCCUCAGGAGAACACAGGGCAAGGGGUGCCCACCACUCAGGAGUUCAUCGCCAAGACCACACAGGAACUGCAAGACGCAAGAGACAUGCGCGGCGACAGCCGCUCAUAGGGCGCAGCUCACCACCCAGGCGAGGGUGCUGAGCUGCGCGUCUGCAUCGACGUCCCGGAGCUCAACAGGGCCGUGUCUCAGGAGCGCUUCUGGCCUUCGCGUGUGGGCCAUUGCGAGGGCCCGCCACAUAGCUAUGUUCGCAUGCCCCUCAGCUUGCCAAGCAUGGCAUCGGCCUAUCAGCGCAACCUGCGGCGUGACCUGGCGGCUCGAGAGGCCAGCUACCGCACCAUCCUGGAGGAAACGGAGAUGGUCUUCAGGGAGCCUCCUGAGCCCCCAGAGCCUCCCGAGGCUCAGGGCUCCGGUGGCUCAUGAGGAGUUAUUUCUUCGACGCACGCCUUCAGUUGUGCCAACUCUUCUUCGUCUACAGAACCAGGUGACAUCUUCCAACCUCGUUUAAGCUGGGACGCCCCUUGGGCUACAUUAUUCCCAGGCCGCAUGGGUCCAUCCCUGCGGCAUGUAUCCCUUUUUGCUCAUGUCUUUUAGCUUGCCUUGCUGGGGGCGCCCCUCAGGCUGCAUCAUCCCCAAGCCGCCCGGGCCGGACCCGGUGGCAUGUAUCUUCCUGAAUUUACCCAAAAGCUGAUUUUCCUUCCCUGCUUAACCUGCCUACAGUUACCACCUGCUCGAUCAUCGCCUCCCACGGGGCCUCCUCGCAGGCAUGGCACUGGUGCAUGGGUCCGUCCCUGCCACGUCGACAAAUCUAAGCGGUCGAGCUCUGGCUCGCGGCACGCCCCACGCACGUCACCUCACCAGGACAUCAGUGCCUUCACUUCAUCCGGACCAACCAGCGGCAGGCCGGUGGCAGUAACGGCAAACCAUGUUCUUCUUGUGCCUGUUCACAGGGACCCCGUGGGGAGGAUAGCAGGCGGCGCCGCGUGUCUCCUUUUCUCUCGUGCACUUCGCUUGUGCGUUAAAAGGGGGGCUCCUGAGCAUCGCGACUCAGGAGCUCUUACUGGCUCUCCAUCCCUCACCCCCUGGCCUUGACCACUGCAUCGCGACCUGGCAUACCAGCGGCGGUUGAGCUCGCUCGAGGGCUGGGACCUGAGGACGCAGAGCACUAAGGAGAGCAUGGAAAUAGGGAAACCCGUGUGGGCCGGCCUAGCUAUGUUGCACAAGUUGGCGCGCGUCCCUAGCGCAAUGUCGGGAAUCACCACGAAGUUCACAAGAUAAGUCUUGCCCUCGGAUCGGCUAAAUGUCUGAGCCUUAUGGUCACCCAUGCCUUGCCGAAACCCCAUUGUGGGCGACGUCAACUCCCUUUCUUCCCUUACCGUGGCUGCUUUAGUGCUAAGGGGGGCCUCCUAAGCAUCACGCCACAGGGGCUCUUACCGGACCUCGGGCCGCACACCUCCUGGCCUUGACCAUGGCACGCGACCUGGCAUAGCAGCGACGGCUGUAGCUUGCCUGGGGACCAGGACCUGUCGGCGUAGUGCAACAAGCCAUCAUGAGGAAAGAAAGGGGAGACUGAGCCUGAAUGGGACACGCGUUCACCAAAUCUUCAUAACAGGGAAAAUAAGCACAAAAGGCAUUACAGACCAUUAUAUGCCCCCGCGGGGCGCUUCAUGAUUCUUCGCAGGGAAUGAAAGCUAAGACUAAGAAGGACCCUAUCUACACCCUCCUGUGGCAGACACCAUCAUCAACAGUGGGCCACGGGAGGCCGGCGCCAACCCCAUCCAGAUCAGCGGUAGCGACGACCAGACGCGGCAGCACUGCUCCGAGCGCGGCGAGAGCUCGGGGGCACGUAGCUGUCGUCACUCGUCUCCGGAGACUCAUAGAGCUCAGGAGAGCUGCUGGACUCCCAAGGGCUGCUGCUGCUGGAGUGGCCGCGAGCGGAACGCGUGUCAGCCUCACGCUCCUCUCCGGAGCAGCACUCCAGGCGGCGGCCCUCGACGUCGAAGACCUUGAAGAAGAGCGUGGAGACGCCAUCGUACUCAAGGUGGAUCGCGAGGGCGCCCCUCACAUGGCAGACCCGCGCGAUCUCGCCCCAGCCACGAGUCAUGAAGAUCUUGCCGGAGGGGACCGCUUUGAUCUCUGCUCCAUUCACCAGAGCGCCGCAGUCGGCGUGCUGGAAUUAGAGCUCGAGAGGCCCCCGUGGCGGCACCACGUCGUAGAAGAACCGCAGGAAGGAGAUCCAGGAGCUUGGGGGCAUCGGCGCCCACAGCACCAGCUCACGCGAGGAGUCCGUGGCAUGGAUUCCAGGGGCAACGGCGUGCGUCGCCAUAGCACGGCGACCCCGGGCGCGGAGUGGGUGGCGCUCUGCCUUCCUGAGCCCUCGGCUUGGACAUACUGGGGUAACGGAUACCCUGGGGGAGGCCGCUCGCACCAAGGCCUCGUCACCACCUGCAUUGCCGCUUCGUCACGGCGGUGGAUCGCCCUUUUCUUCGGCGGAAGUGUCCUCGGGUUAUCUCGGGGACCUUCCCCUUUUCUUCGGCGGAGAACCAUCUGAUAGGCGCCAUUGAUGUUAGCAGCGGAGCAAGGAGGAAGAAGCAAGCAAGCGAGGAAGAGAUGGGCAACGGGGGCUCAACCCCCCUCCCCAUUUAUAGCAAGAGAAGGCCAACCUGCACCUCUCACAAUCGCAGGUAAUGAUGGUUUUCCUUGCAUGUCGCAGGGACUUGUCAAGUCAUGCAGUUGCCGAGGUAGCAUGGGGAAGCGGAGACGCCCAUGUCCAAUCAAACGCCACGCAUCAACCGAGGCCACAUGCUUUUCGUCUCCUGCAGUUCUUCGUACUUGACCCUUGGAUUCGCCGCGAAGCCAAGCCUGAGCGCACCUUGGGCUCGGGGUCUAUUGUCGGUGUUGUGGGAAUGGGGGUCCCCAGACUUGCCUACCUACGGCCCGCGGCCCAUAUUCAUCAACAAGGCAUCCAAGACCCUCGCGAGGGGGCAAGCCUCGCGAGGCGGACGACACAAGACCUCCUCUGGAGUGCCCUCAUCGGGCAGGCUCACGAGGGGCAGAGAUAACAAGGCGAGGCAAACCUCACGAGGCUCUCGUGACGUGAGCCAUGACGAUCGACACCAGGCGGGUGCCAGGCAGGCGCCAGCGCAUGUAGCGUCCUUGUUUCCUCUUUGGUGCUAAGGAGGCCAGUGCAAGUGAGGAGUACUGAGGCAUCAGGCAAAGGUUGCCAUAUCGGUGCAACAAGACCAAGACAUGAAGGACGGCAAGAUGGAGGUCAUUGUGGUGCCCAAGACGGCGUCACCACCAGAGCCUUUCGCAGGCGGAGACCACCUUUGUCGGGAUAGCUUGUACUAGUUGUCCCCCUGCAAAAUUGCCCGCCGUUGUUGGCUCCCUUCCCGCUCAAUAUUUGGGAAGAGGACCAGGGCCUCUAUAAAUAGGACUAGCCACCACCAUAGGAAAGAGAGAGCCUGAAGAUCAUCCCCACACACACAAGUUAGCCAAGCACGAGAAUGCCUCACUCUUAGGAGGCUGUUCUUCCCCUUGUAUUGUUCAUCAUCAACCCAAGAGGCAAUCCACCACCACCACAUUGGAGUAGGGUAUUACACCACAACGGUGGCCCGAACCAGUAUAAAUCUUAUGUCUUUCUAUGUUGCGAGUUCGCCGAGUUCGUCCGCGAGAUCUUAGCGAGCUAGGGCGUAGAUCGGUGGGAGGAAAACACUUCACGCACACCCCAGUGUUCGAACCUUAAGGGUUUGCCGGAACCCCACAUCCGACAGCCAGAAGUACCAGAGGGGGGGCACUCACCAGCCACGAGGGUGGGGGGAUGCGCCCUACCCCCCUGGGCACGCCCCUGCCUCGUGGGCCCCCUGAUGGCCCUCCGAUGCCCAUCUUCUGCUAUAUGGAUUCUUUCAUUGAGGAAAGAAAUUAUAAGCAAGCUUUCGGGACGAGACUCCGCCGCCAUGAGGUGGAACCUUGGCGGAACCAAUCUAGGGCUCCGGCAGAGCUGUUCUGCCAGGGACACUUCCCUCCGGGAGGGGGAAAUCAUCGCUAUCGUCAUCACCAACGCUCCUCUCAUCGGGAGGGGGCCAAUCUCCAUCAACAUCUUCACCAGCACCAUCUCCUCUCAAACCUUAGUUCAUCUCUUGUAUCCAAUUCUUGUCUCUAAGUCUGGGAUUGGUACCUGUAGGUUGCUAGUAGUGUUGAUUACUCCUCGUAGUUGAAGCUAGUUGGUUUAUUUGGUGGAAGAUCAUAUGUUCAGAUCCUAUAUGCAUAUUAAUACUCCUCUGAUUAUGAACAUGAAUAUGCUUUGUGGGUAGUUACGUUUGUUCCUGAGGGCAUGGGAGAAGUCUUGCUAUUAGUAGUCAUGUGAAUUUGGUAUUCGUUCGAUAUUUUGAUGAGAUGUAUGUUGUCUCUCCUCUAGUGGUGUUAUGUGAACGUCGACUACAUGACACUUCACCAUUAUUUGGGCCUAGAAGAAGGCAUUGGGAAGUAAUAAGUAGAUGAUGGGUUGCUAGAGUGACAGAAGCUUAAACCCUAGUUUAUGCGUUGCUUCGUAAGGGGUUGAUUUGGAUCCAUAUGUUUCAUGCUAUGGUUUGGUUUACCUUAAUACUUCUGUUGUAGUUGCGGCUGCUUGCAAUGGGGGUUAAUCAUAAGUGGGAUGCUUGUGCAAGUAAGGACAUCACCCAAGCACCGGUCCACCCACAUAUCAAAUUAUCAAAGUACCGAACGCGAAUCAUAUGAACAUGAUGAAAACUAGCUUGACGAUAAUUCCCAUGUGUCCUCGGGAGCGCUUUCCUUCAUAUAAGAGUUUGUACAGGCUUGUCCUUUGCUACAAAAAGGAUUGGGUCACCUUGCUGCACUUUAUUUACUUUUGUUACUUGUUGCUCGUUACAAAUUCUCUUAUCACAAAACUAUCUGUUAUCUAUAAUUUCAGUGCUUGCAGAGAAUACCUUCCUGAAAACCGCUUAUCAUUUCCUUCUGCUCCUCAUUGGGUUUGACACUCUUACUUAUCAAAAGGACAAUGAUAGAUCCCCUAUACUUGUAGGUCAACAAGACUCUUUUCUAGCGCCGUUGUCGGGGAGUGAAGCGCCUUUGGUAAGUGGAUUUUGGUAAGGAAAAAAUUAUAUAGUGUGCUGAAAUUUACUGUCAUUUAAUUUACUGUCAUUUGUUACUAUGGAAAGUAAUCCUUUGAGGGGCUUGUUCGGGGUAUCUUCACAUCGAGCAGUAGAGCAAAGAGUCACUCCUCAACCUACUCAACCUACUGAACCUACUGAAAAUGAAAAUGUCUACUUUGAAAUUCCUUCGGGUAUGAUAGAAAAACUGCUAGCUAAUCCUUUUGCAGGAGAUGGAACAUUACAUCCUGAUGAGUACCUAAUAUAUGUGGAUGAAGUUUGUGGAUUAUUUAAGCUUGCAGGUAUGCCCGAUGAUGUUAUCAAGAAGAAGGUAUUCCCUUUAUCUUUGAAGGGAGAUGCAUUGAAAUGGUAUAGGCUAUGUGAUGAUAUGGGAUCAUGGAACUACAAACGAUUGAAAUUGGAAUUUCAUCAGAAGUUUUUUCCUACGCAUCUUGUUCAUCGUGAUCACAAAUAUAUAUAAUUUUUGGCCUCGCGAAGGAGAAAGCAUCGCUCAAGCUUGGGGGAGGCUUAAAUCAAUGUUAUAUUCAUGCCCCAAUCAUGAGCUCUCAAGAGAAAUGAUUAUCCAAAAAAUUUAUGCUCGGCUUUCUGAUAACAAUCGCACCAUGCUCGAUACUUCUUGUGCUGGCUCUUUUAUGAUGAAGACUAUUGAAUUCAAAUGGAAGUAUCGGAAAGAAUUAAACGCAACUCUGAAGAUUGGGAUCUCGACGAAGGUAAGGAGUCAGGUAUGACACCUAAGUUUGAUUGUGUCAAAUCUUUUAUGGAUACCGAUGUUUUCCGUAAAUUUAGCACUAAAUAUGGACUUGAGUCUAAGAUAGUAGCAUCUUUCUGUGAAUCUUUUGCUACUCAUGUUGAUAUCCCUAAGGAGAAGUGGUUUAAGUAUCAUCCUCCCAUAGAAGUAAAAGUAGUUGCACCUAUUAAAGUUGAAGAAAAGACUAUCACUUAUAAUGAUCCUAUUAUUUCUACUGCUUACGUUGAGAAACCACCUUUUCCUGUUAGGAUAAAAGAUCAUGCUAAAGCUUCAACUGUGGUUCGUAAAAGCAAUAUUAGAACCUAUACACCUCCUGAGCAAGUUAAAGUUGAACCUAAUAUUGCUAUUGUUAAGGAUCUCUUGGCUGAUAAUAUUGAUGGGCAUGUUAUUUAUUUCUGUGAUGAAACUGCUAGAAUUGCUAAACCUUGUGCUAAAGAUAAACAUAGACCUGUGGUAGGCAUGCCUGUUAUUUCUGUUAAAAUAGGAGAUCAUUGUUAUCAUGCCUUGUGUGGUAUGGGUGCUAGUGCUAGUGCAAUACCUAUUGACUUAUACAAAUAAAUUAUUCAUGAUAUUGCACCUGCUGAGUUAGAAGAUAUUGAUGUCACAAUUAGUGCCAAUAGAGAUACUAUUUCACCAAUUGGGAUUGUUAGAGAUGUUGAAGUCUUGUGUGGGAAAACUAAAUAUCCUGCUGAUUUUCUCGUUCUUGGUUCCCCACAAGAUAGCUUUUGUCCCAUUAUAUUUGGUAGACCCUUCUUAAACACUGUUAAUGCUAGGAUAGACUGCAAAAAGAAUGUUGUUACUAUUGGGUUAGGUGAUAUGUCUCAUGAGUUCAACUUUUCUAAAUUUCGUAGACAAUACCGUGAAGAGGAAUUGCAUAGUAAAGAUGAAAUUAUUGGUCUUGCUUCUAUUGCCGUACCUCCUAGUGAUCCUUUAGAAUAAUAUUUGCUAGACCAUGAAAAUGAUAUGUUUAUGAAUGAAAGAAGGGAAAUAGAUGAAGUGUUCUUUAAACAGGGACCUAUUCUGAAACACAACUUGCAUGUUGAAAUCAUAGGGGAUCCUCCUCCACCCAAGGGUGAUCCCGUGUUUGAGCUUAAACCAUUGCCUGAUACUCUUAAAUAUGCUUAUCUUGAUGAAAAGAAGAUAUAUCCUGUUAUUAUUAGUGCUAACCAUUCAGAGAAGGAGGAAGAAAAAUUAUUGAAAACUCUGAAGAAGCACCGUGCUGCUAUUGGAUAUACUCUUGAUGAUCUUAAGGGCAUUAGUCCCACUCUAUGUCAACACAAAAUAAACUUGGAGAAAGAUGCCAAACCAGUUAUUGAUCAUCAAUGACGGCUGAAUCCUAAGAUGAAAGAAGUGGUAAGAAAAUAAAUACUAAAGCUCCUUGAGGCAGGUAUAAUUUAUCCCGUUGCUCAUAGUCAGUGGGUAAGUCCUGUCCAUUGUGUUCCUAAGAAGGGAGGUAUUACUGUCAUUCCUAAUGAUAAAGAUAAAUUGAUUCCGCAAAGAAUUAUUACAGGUUAUAGGAUGGUAAUUGACUUCCACAAAUUAAAUAAGGCUACUAAAAAGAUCAUUACCCCUUACCUUUCAUUGAUCAAAUGCUAGAAAGAUUAUCCAAACAUACACAUUUUUGCUUUCUAGAUGGUUAUUCUGGUUUCUCUCAAAUACCUGUGUCAGCUAAUGAUCAAUCAAAGACCACUUUUACUUUCCCUUUCUGUACUUUUUCUUAUAGACAUAUGCCUUUUGGUUUAUGUAAUGCACCUACUACCUUUCAAAGAUGCAUGAUGGCUAUAUUCUCUGACUUUUGUGGAAAGAUUUGUGAGGUUUUCAUGGAUGAUUUCUCCGUCUAUGGAUCCUCUUUUGAUGAUUGCUUAAGCAACCUUGAUCGAGUUUUGCAGAGAUGUGAAGAAACUAACCUUGUCUUGAAUUGGGAGAAGUGCCACUUUAUGGUUAAUGAAGGUAUUGUCUUGGGGCACAAAAUUUCUGAAAGGGGCAUUGAAGUUGAUAAAGCUAAAGUUGAUGCUACUGAAAAGAUGUCGUGUCCCAAGGACAUCAAAGGUAUAAGAAGUUUCCUUGGUCAUGCUGACUUUUAUAGGAGGUUCAUUAAGGACUUCUCAAAAAUUUCUCGGCCUCUGACUAAUUUAUUACAAAAAGAUACACCAUUCGUCUUUGAUGAUGAUUGUGUAGAAGCAUUUGAAAUACUUAAGAAAGCAUUGAUCUCUGCACCUAUUGUUCAGUCACCUGAUUGGAAUUUACCUUUUGAAAUUAUGUGUGAUGCUAGCGAUUAUGCUGUAGGUGCUGUUCUAGGGCAAAGAGUUGAUAAGAAAUUAAAUGUUAUUCAAUAUGCUAGUAAACUCUAGACAAUGCCCAGAGAAAUUAUUCUACUACUGAAAAAGAAUUCUUAGCAGUUGUAUUUGCUUGUGAUAAGUUCAGACCUUAUAUUGUUGAUUCUAAAGUAACUAUUCACACGGAUCAUGCUGCUAUUAAAUAUCUUAUGGAAAAGAAAGAUGUUAAACCUAGACUUAUUAGAUGGGUUCUCUUGCUACAAGAAUUUGAUUUGCAUAUUAUUGAUAGAAAGGGAGCUAAGAACCCCGUUCCAGAUAACUUGUCUAGGUUAGAAAAUGUUCUUGAUGACCCACUACCCAUUGAUGAUAGCUUUCCCGAUGAACAAUUAAAUGUCAUAAAUGCUUCUCAUACUGCUCCAUGGUAUGCUGAUUAUGCUAAUUACAUUGUUGCUAAAUUUAUACCACCUAGUUUCACAUACCAGCAAAAGAAAAAGUUUUUCUAUGAUUUAAGACAUUCCUUUUGGGAUGACCCACAUCUUUAUAAAGAAGGAGUAGAUGGUGUUAUUAGGCGUUGUGUACCUGAGCAUGAACAUGAACAGAUCCUACGCAAGUGUCACUCCAAAGCUUAUGAAGGACACCACACUAGAGAUAGAACUGCACAUAAGGUACUCCAAUCCGGUUUUUAUUGGCCUACUCUCUUCAAGGAUGCCCAUAAGUUUGUCUUAUCUUGUGAUGAAUGUCAAAGAAUUGGUACUAGUAGUAGACGCCAAGAAAUGCCUAUGAAUUAUUCACAUGUUAUUGAACCAUUUGAUGUUUGGGGCUUUGAUUAUAUGGGACCGUUUCCUGCCUCUAAUGGAUAUACACAUAUUUUAGUUGCUGUUGAUUACGUUAAUAAGUGGGCAGAAGCUAUUCCAACUAGUAGUGCUGAUCAUAACACCUCUAUUAAGAUGCUUAAAGAAGUUAUUUUUCCGAGGUUUGGAGUCCCUAGAUAUUUAAUGACUGAUGGUGGUUCACAUUUUAUUCAUGGUGCUUUCCGUAAAAUGCUUGCUAAGUAUGAUGUUAAUCAUAGAAUUCCAUCUCCUUAUCACCCACAGUCUAGUGGUCAAGUAGAAUUGAGUAAUAGAGAACUCAAAUUAAUUUUGCAAAAGACUGUUAAUAGAUCUAGAAAGAUUUGGUCCAAGAAACUUGAUGAUGCAUUAUGGGCCUAUAGAACUGCAUAUAAAAAUCCUAUGGGUAUGUCUCUGUAUAAAAUGGUUUAUGGAAAAGCAUGUCACUUACCUCUCGAACUAGAACAUAAGGCUUAUUAGGCUAUUAACGAGCUCAAUUAUGAUUUCAAACUUGCCGGUGAGAAAAGGUUAUUUGACAUUAGCUCACUUGAUGAAUGGAGAACCCAAGCCUAUGAGAAUGCCAAAUUGUUUAAAGAAAAAGUUAAAAGAUGGCAUGCCAAAAGGGUACAAAAGCGUGAGUUUAAUGUAGGUGAUUUUGUAUUGCUAUACAACUCUCAUUUAAGAUUUUUUGCAGGAAACUUCUCUCUAAAUGGGAAGGUCCUUACGUUAUCGAGGAGGUCUAUCGCUCCGGUGCCAUAAAAUCGACAACUUCGAAGGCACAAAUCCGAAGGUGGUGAACGGUCAAAGAAUCAAACAUUAUAUCUCAGGUAAUCCUAUAAAUGUUGAAAACAAUGUUAUUGAAACCAUAACCCCGGAAGAAUACAUAAGGGACACUUUCAGAACGUUUCAGACUCCGAAAAAUAAUAGGUAUGUGGUACGGUAAGUAAACCGACUCCAAAACAGUUCUAAUGGCAAUUUUUCUCCAUUUUGGAAUAUUUAGAAAAAUAGAAAAAUAAGAAGAAGUCCGGGAAGGACACGAGGACUCCACGAGGGUGGAGGGCGCGCCCCCCUACCUCGUGGGCACCUCGUGUGCUCUCCGGACUCCGUUUUCUUAUACGAUACAUAUUUUGGUCGGUAAAAAUUCAUUAUAUAAUCUCCCGAAGGUUUUGACUCCCGUAUCACGCAAUUAUCCUCUUUUUGUGUUUCGAGCUGUUGCUACUGCAGAUUAGAGCAAGAUGUCUUCUCAAGAGUCAGUCGGGGAGAGCUGGGUGUCUCAUCCGGCAUCGAGAUCAAUGACAAACAGCAAUGCUAACCACUUUGGGCCAGCAACGGAGGAAGAGAUGGAGGCUGAUUUGAAGAGGAUAGAUGCCAUGGAGGAGGAUCAAGAAGUCACUUCUCGCUUCCGAGCUGGAUUCACAAUGGGGGAACUACAGAGCUCGGCUAUCCCAAACUCGGUUAUCCCUUCCAAUGUUAGAUUUCUUUCUUAUGAAAAUAUGAAGAAGAGUGUCACUUGUUCCCCCGCAGCUAUGCAACACCCUUGGGUGCAAGGAGCUUUGGCCGUUACAGGAAAGCUUCGAAAGGAAAUAAUGGACCUCAAGCAGCAAGUCAAUAAGCUCGAAGAGGAGAAUCGUAUCCUGAGGGGAAUCAUCGCCAAGAAUAUCACAUCACCAUCCACGAAAAAGGAGACGUAAUCACAUGGGUAUGCGCACUCCCCUUGGAAAAUGCCAAGCUUGGGGGAGGUGCCCCGGUAUCGUAUCACCAUCACAUCUCUAUCUUUAGCUUUUUUCUUAGAUCGAUCCUUUUAGUAAUAUCUUGAUCCAGUAGAAUAAAGUUUUUGGUAUGAUCUAGUUUUGAGUUUUGCUUUAUGAUCCCUCUAUGUAAUCGAGUCCGUGAGCUAUAUAAUAAAGAUUAGUGUUGAGUCAAGGGAUUGAUUAUCUUGCUAUGAUCUUCAGUGAAUAAAAUAAAAAAAAAAGAAU
Molecule: long non-coding RNA, 31488 nt
Filed under: Triticum aestivum (bread wheat)
Lineage: Eukaryota; Viridiplantae; Streptophyta; Magnoliopsida; Poales; Poaceae
Description: long non-coding RNA (TAES_LNC005303)
Source: RNAcentral